Microtus oregoni (creeping vole) is the source of this 949-nucleotide long non-coding RNA. RefSeq lists it as uncharacterized. The record is from RefSeq and is a predicted model, not a curated record. Lineage: Eukaryota; Metazoa; Chordata; Mammalia; Rodentia; Cricetidae. The transcript has 3 exons.
AAAAGCUAUGGAUUUCUUCAAAGUAAUAAAGAUCAGAUUUGACCGGGAUAGACCUCCUUGAAAAUCUCGACUGUAGACAUGAAGGAAGAAACAGAAAACCUACAAGACAAGUGACAUAUAGGCCCAUCCCUCUACAUGGGAGCAGUUCUGAGACUAGACAGGUUCCAUGUAGUCCAGGAUGGCACUGAACUUGCUAUACAUCAGCCGUGUAGCUGAGGAUGAUGCUGAACUUCUGAUGCUCCUGCCUUCACCUCCUGGGUGCUGGGAUUACAGCAGCCUGCCAAUAUGUCCAGGUCAUGUGGGCUGGAGCCAAACCCAGGGCUCUGUGCUGCCAGAACACCAUCAACUGAGCAAUGUCCCCAGCAUCCUUGCAUUGACCUCAUCUAAUAUCCACUGAGCAUCUACUGGGAUGCAGCACUGUGAUCAAGAGGAAGAAGAGCAGGACCACAGCAACCAUGGCAUCCUCGCUUCACAUAAUGCCGGAUGGUAUUUCCAGGGUUCACCUAUGGGCUCCCUGGACAGAUUUUACUCACUAAGAAUCCUUGCAGUGUUCGGUCAAACUACGAGGAAAGUACUGUUGCCUGGAGUCAGGCUCACUUAGCUCUGCUUAUGUGCACCUCAUCCCUCUCUGGAGAAACAGUAACUUGAACGGGUCUUCAAUUUUACUGUUAAAGAAACAUGAACCAAAGAAUUUCUGCAAUGUUAGUAAAGUUGUUACUGCAAUGUGUAAGAAGUAAGUCUUGGAAAGCAGAAGAAAGCGAAGGCUUACCACAGGGCAGCCCAUCUCCACAGCUGGGGAAGCUGAUGGCUGAGCCUCCUCACUAAGCUGGAUCUAGCCAGAGUGGGGAAGGCCAGACAGCACAGAAGCCACCAGCCCCAACACCAAACACCCUGCUGCAAAUCAACAGCCUCUAAACAUAGGCGCCACUUAUUUAUUUGGAAUUACAAA